CACGGAGGGGGCAAGCGUUGUCCGGAAUCAUUGGGCGUAAAGAGCUCGUAGGCGGCUCAGUAAGUCGGGUGUGAAACCCCCAGGCUCAACCUGGGGACGCCACCCGAUACUGCUGUGGCUAGAGUCCAGUAGGGGAGUGUGGAAUUCCCAGUGUAGAGGUGAAAUUCGUAGAUAUUGGGAAGAACACCGGUGGCGAAGGCGGCGACCUGGUCCGAUACUGACGCUGAGGCGCGAAAGCGUGGGGAGCAAACAGG
This 254-nucleotide ribosomal RNA is filed under the name uncultured bacterium. RNAcentral describes it as "partial 16S ribosomal RNA". It matches the Rfam family "Bacterial small subunit ribosomal RNA", at positions 524 to 776 of the family's 1533-position model. The record is from RNAcentral.